GUAAAGGCCUACCAAGGCGACGAUGGCUAGCCGGCCUGGGAGGGUGUACGGCCACAAUGGAACUGAGACACGGUCCUUACUCCUACGGGAGGCAGCAGUGGGGAAUAUUGCGCAAUGGGCGAAAGCCUGACGCAGCGAUGCCGCGUGAAUGAUGAAGGUUUUCGGACUGUAAAAUUCUUUUAGCAGGGAAGAUAAUGACGGUACCUGCAGAAAAAGCCACGGCUAAUUACGUGCCAGCAGCCG
This 243-nucleotide ribosomal RNA is filed under the name Ctenophora environmental sample. RNAcentral's name for it is "partial Bacterial small subunit ribosomal RNA". It matches the Rfam family "Bacterial small subunit ribosomal RNA", at positions 257 to 517 of the family's 1533-position model. The record is from RNAcentral. Lineage: Eukaryota; Metazoa; Ctenophora.